GAUGAACGCUAGCGGCAGGCCUAAUACAUGCAAGUCGAACGGUAACAUGGUCAGCAAUGACUGAUGACGAGUGGCGCACGGGUGCGUAACGCGUAUGCAAUCUACCUCUUACUGGGGAAUAGCCCGGAGAAAUCCGGAUUAACACCGCAUAAUAUAUUGUUGAGGCAUCUCAGUGAUAUUAAAUAUUUAUAGGUAAGAGAUGAGCAUGCGUCCAAUUAGUUAGUUGGUGAGGUAACGGCUCACCAAGACAAUGAUUGGUAGGGGUUCUGAGAGGAAGGUCCCCCACACUGGUACUGAGAUACGGACCAGACUCCUACGGGAGGCAGCAGUAGGGAAUAUUGGGCAAUGGACGAGAGUCUGACCCAGCCAUG
This 371-nucleotide ribosomal RNA is filed under the name uncultured bacterium. Its description in RNAcentral is "bacterial SSU rRNA". It matches the Rfam family "Bacterial small subunit ribosomal RNA", at positions 28 to 396 of the family's 1533-position model. The record is from RNAcentral.